CGUGGGUAACCUGCCUUAUAGUGGGGGAUAGCCUUUCGAAAGGAAGAUUAAUACCGCAUAAGAUUGUAGUAUCGCAUGAUAUAGCAAUUAAAGGAGCAAUUCGCUAUAAGAUGGACCCGCGUCGCAUUAGCUAGUUGGUGAGGUAAUGGCUCACCAGGCGACGAUGCGUAGCCGACCUGAGAGGGUGAUCGGCCACAUUGGGACUGAGACACGGCCCAGACUCCUACGGGAGGCAGCAUG
RNAcentral lists this ribosomal RNA (240 nucleotides) under uncultured bacterium. RNAcentral describes it as "partial 16S ribosomal RNA". It matches the Rfam family "Bacterial small subunit ribosomal RNA", at positions 116 to 353 of the family's 1533-position model. The record is from RNAcentral.